ACCCUAAACUCUUGAAUAUCAGUGUCGAUCUGAAUACUAUGUAAUAGUUAAAACUUUCAACAACGGAUCUCUUGGUUCUGGCAUCGAUGAAGAACGCAGCGAAAUGCGAUAAGUAAUGUGAAUUGCAGAAUUCAUUGAAUCAUCGAAUCUUUGAACGCACAUUGCGCCCCUUGUUAUUCCGAGGGGNUUNNCUGUUCGAGCGUCAUUACAACCCUCAAGCACUGCUUGGUGUUGGGCCCCGCUGGGCNGCGGCGGGCCCUAAAAUCAGUGGCGGUGCCGUCGGGCCCUCGAGCGCANUAAACAUCCUCGCUACAGGGACCCGGUGGACGCUGGCCAUCAACCCCCAACUCUCUAAGUUUGACCUCGGAUCAUGUAGGGAUACCCGCUGAACUUAAGCAUAUCAAUAA
RNAcentral lists this ribosomal RNA (407 nucleotides) under uncultured Hyaloscyphaceae. RNAcentral's name for it is "eukaryotic LSU rRNA". The stretch from base 52 to 205 matches the Rfam family "5.8S ribosomal RNA". The record is from RNAcentral. Lineage: Eukaryota; Fungi; Ascomycota; Leotiomycetes; Helotiales.